RNAcentral lists this unclassified non-coding RNA (323 nucleotides) under Hevea brasiliensis (rubber tree). Lineage: Eukaryota; Viridiplantae; Streptophyta; Magnoliopsida; Malpighiales; Euphorbiaceae. The record is from RNAcentral.
AUUACAUCAUAUUGCGCACUACUGUCUACCAAAUGUAGCAAGAAAAAAAUAAGGAAAGAUGAUCCCAGGCUUCUUCAGUAACAAUUGGCUUGCAUCUUUAAUCCACUAUUUUCUUUGUAACAUGUGGGAUCCACUGUAUUCUUCGGUAAGAAUUGCCUUGCAUCUUUAAUCCACUAUCACGUGAGUGCAGGCUUCACUCACCAUUUUCAAAAUGCAAAAUUUUGCUAGUUAUACAUAAGGUUCUGAUAAGAACAAAUUACAAGGAAAGAAUGUCACUUGUCCAAGGGUAAUUUCCACCCAAAAAAUCUAGGAGCAAUCUCCAC